AGCUUUGCGAAGUGGCAGUAUCGUAGCCAAUGAGGUUUAUCCGAGGCGCGAUUAUUGCUAAUUAAAAGUAAAUCUUAAUUCUGAACUUAGAGUGGUGAUGGUUACACAACUCCAUGAAUAUACUGAAAAAUACAGAAUUGUA
The sequence is a small nuclear RNA, 142 nucleotides long. Its record names the gene U4. It matches the Rfam family "U4 spliceosomal RNA". Rfam says of the family: U4 small nuclear RNA (U4 snRNA) is a component of the major U2-dependent spliceosome. The structure of U4 snRNA from yeast and human has been reported. The record is from Ensembl.